Molecule: ribosomal RNA, 293 nt
Filed under: uncultured bacterium
Lineage: Bacteria
Description: partial 16S ribosomal RNA
Rfam family: Bacterial small subunit ribosomal RNA
Source: RNAcentral
GGAUUAGAUACCCUGGUAGUCCACGCCGUAAACGAUGUCAACUAGCCGUUGGGGACGUAAUGUCUUGAGUGGCGCAGCUAACGCACUAAGUUGACCGCCUGGGGAGUACGGUCGCAAGAUUAAAACUCAAAUGAAUUGACGGGGGCCCGCACAAGCGGUGGAGCAUGUGGUUUAAUUCGACGCAACGCGAAGAACCUUACCUGGUCUUGACAUCCAGAGAACUUUCCAGAGAUGGAUUGGUGCCUUCGGGAACUCUGAGACAGGUGCUGCAUGGCUGUCGUCAGCUCGUGCUG